UUAAAUUGAAGAGUUUGAUCAUGGCUCAGAUUGAACGCUGGCGGCAGGCCUAACACAUGCAAGUCGAACGGUAACAGGAAGCAGCUUGGCUGCUUUGCUGACGAGUGGCGGACGGGUGAGUAAUGUCUGGGAAACUGCCUGAUGGAGGGGGAUAACUA
RNAcentral lists this ribosomal RNA (158 nucleotides) under Salmonella enterica. Its description in RNAcentral is "partial 16S ribosomal RNA". It matches the Rfam family "Bacterial small subunit ribosomal RNA", at positions 1 to 149 of the family's 1533-position model. Lineage: Bacteria; Pseudomonadati; Pseudomonadota; Gammaproteobacteria; Enterobacterales; Enterobacteriaceae. The record is from RNAcentral.